RNAcentral lists this ribosomal RNA (209 nucleotides) under uncultured bacterium. RNAcentral's name for it is "partial 16S ribosomal RNA". It matches the Rfam family "Bacterial small subunit ribosomal RNA", at positions 524 to 732 of the family's 1533-position model. The record is from RNAcentral.
UACGGAGGGAGCUAGCGUUGUUCGGAAUUACUGGGCGUAAAGCGCGCGUAGGCGGCUUUGUAAGUUAGAGGUGAAAGCCUGGAGCUCAACUUCAGAAUUGCCUUUAAGACUGCAUCGCUUGAAUCCGGGAGAGGUGAGUGGAAUUCCGAGUGUAGAGGUGAAAUUCGUAGAUAUUCGGAAGAACACCAGUGGCGAAGGCGGCUCACUGG